RNAcentral lists this ribosomal RNA (487 nucleotides) under uncultured bacterium. RNAcentral's name for it is "bacterial SSU rRNA". It matches the Rfam family "Bacterial small subunit ribosomal RNA", at positions 28 to 534 of the family's 1533-position model. The record is from RNAcentral.
GAUGAACGCUAGCGGCGUGCCUAACACAUGCAAGUCGAACGUGAGAGGGUACUUGUAUCCUUGAAAGUGGCGGACGGGUGAGUAAGACGUAGGUGACCUGCCUUGAAGUGGGGGAUAACCAUUGGAAACGAUGGCUAAUACCGCAUAAGCUGGUGAUGAUGGGAAUCGUUAUCAGGAAAGCUUUAGUGCUUUGAGAGGGGCCUACGGCCGAUUAGCUAGUUGGUGAGGUAAAGGCUCACCAAGGCGAUGAUCGGUAGCUGGUCUGAGAGGACGAUCAGCCACACGGGAACUGAGACACGGUCCCGACUCCUACGGGGGGCAGCAGUGAGGAAUAUUGGGCAAUGGGCGAAAGCCUGACCCAGCAACGCCGCGUGGAGGAUGAAGGCUUUAGGGUUGUAAACUCCUUUUGUGGGGGAAAGAAUGGAUGGUACCCCAAGAAUAAGUCACGGCUAACUACGUGCCAGCAGCCGCGGUAAGGCGUAUGUGU